AACACGCAGCUUAGGCUUUUUUUUCUUCCCCAGCGACGCGCGAGCGGAAGAUGUCUAGGCGCGCGCUGUUGCCAUGGUAAUUCGUACCCGCCUCUACGCUUGUGAGCUCGUUUAUGGCCUCUUUCUCCAGGAAACUGAGGCCUGCAGACGUUAAAUAAUAAGAAGUAAAAAGCCGGGUAUGUUGAACUUCAGAGCAUAUGAACUGCCUCCCCACUGUUCGCUGGAUUGUUCUUAGAGUGGAAUAUGACCGUUCAUAUUUGUGGUACAAGAAGUGCUAAAGGAAGUCUUUCAACAAGAAAAUGAUACCAGAUAAAAUUGUGCAUCUACACAAAGAAAUAAAGGCACGGGAAAUGCCAAUUGCAUAGAUUCUACUUUGUAGAACUUUUAAAAAAGGUCUUGGAGAAGCUCAAGAGUUUCAGAAAGAAUUCCAAGUGGCUUACAAGAAAUGUUACAAUGAGAUAAAUAAAAUACAAACAUGAAUGGAAAAGAGAGAGGAAAAGAAGAUGAAGUACAAGGAAAAGAAGCUGUAAUGCACGUAGAAUAAUCUACAUAUAAAUUUAAGGUUCAGAUUUGAAGAGUCUCUUUGAAAGUGGGAGAGGACAGAUCUUACACAGACUUUUCAGCUAUGGGAGAAUUAUUUGAAACGCUAACCCUCCUCCCCAAAAUAAAACUCUUGUCAUUUUUUCUCCCA
Neofelis nebulosa (Clouded leopard) is the source of this 691-nucleotide long non-coding RNA. RefSeq lists it as uncharacterized. The transcript has 6 exons. The record is from RefSeq and is a predicted model, not a curated record. Lineage: Eukaryota; Metazoa; Chordata; Mammalia; Carnivora; Felidae.